RNAcentral lists this ribosomal RNA (484 nucleotides) under uncultured bacterium. Its description in RNAcentral is "partial 16S ribosomal RNA". It matches the Rfam family "Bacterial small subunit ribosomal RNA", at positions 30 to 507 of the family's 1533-position model. The record is from RNAcentral.
AUUGAACGCUGGCGGCAGGCCUAACACAUGCAAGUCGAGCGGAUGAAGGGAGCUUGCUCCUGGAUUCAGCGGCGGACGGGUGAGUAAUGCCUAGGAAUCUGCCUGGUAGUUGGGGAUAGCGUCCGGAAACGGGCGCUAAUACCGCAUACGUCCUGAGGGAGAAAGUGGGGGAUCUUCGGACCUCACGCUAUCAGAUGAGCCUAGGUCGGAUUAGCUAGUUGGUGGGGUAAAGGCCUACCAAGGCGACGAUCCGUAACUGGUCUGAGAGGAUGAUCAGUCACACUGGAACUGAGACACGGUCCAGACUCCUACGGGAGGCAGCAGUGGGGAAUAUUGGACAAUGGGCGAAAGCCUGAUCCAGCCAUGCCGCGUGUGUGAAGAAGGUCUUCGGAUUGUAAAGCACUUUAAGUUGGGAGGAAGGGCAGUAAGUUAAUACCUUGCUGUUUUGACGUUACCAACAGAAUAAGCACCGGCUAACUUCGUG